AUUAGAGGAGGAGUUAUUUUAAUAAAAAAAAUAGCUAUCCUGCUGCAGGUGGUUUCUUUUCAGCCAGUAAUAAUAUAAAUAAUUAUCUACAUCUGUGCAGUAUGGUGGCUUAUGUACUUCCGUUUCAUUUUUAUUGGCUCCUCAAAGGAAAGAAACUUGAUAUUUUUAAUUAAUUCUCUGAAUUAAAUUAUAUCUCUUGCUUCACUUUGUAGAGUCAUUAUGCUGGAGAGUGGAACUUGCAUUAUGUAUAUCUGAGGCUAUUGCAAUGGGGUCAGAUUUUAGUACAUAUUUAAAUAUUUAACACAACUUUUAAAAUCAAAUUUAUUAUAACAUUCUUCUUAAUUUCCCCUAAUCUUUCUUUUGUUUCAAUCUGUAAAGGUUUAGCCUUCCUAGUUAAUAAUGUCUAAAACAGUCCUAGACUUUCGUAUCACUACCUUAAAGCAGCGUGCCCAUCACACAAGCCUGGUAGGUAGACCAUAUUCUUGGUAUUGGUUAUUAGCAUCGUAUUCUUCCCUACCCUUUUGGAGAAGCGAGCCAUUACGCUAUAUCCAUCCCUCCAAGCACUGUGAUUGGAGUGUGUUGGGUGAGAUUCUAACUCCCAAUGAUCAAGAUCCAGUUCCUUUCCUUCCUUCCUCUCCCCCAUCCUGGCACUUAUAUUAUGUUGUUCAUAUUUUUUUCUAUCAUUUUAGAGAUGGGCUGACUUUUUUAUAAAAUAAAAUAUAAAACAAUCUCCAAAGAGCUUUGGUGGGGGGUAUUUAUUUUGGAUCACUUUAAGCAGGCCCCACUUGGGUCUGAACACAGUCACUUCAGGAUUCUGAUGAAGCAGUUGCACAGCCCUAGUAGACAACACUGAGUAAGGGAGAUCUGUAGUCUGAUUCAGUGUAAUCUAGCUUCCUGUUUCUAGCAGGAUUUUUUUUUUUUAAAAAAAGUCUGUCUCAGAUUCCACCAAUGGUAAGCCCCCAACAAAACACUUUGUAAAUAUUCAUUUCUCCCCAAAUAGCCUUGUUUUUUAUAUGCCUUUUGUCCCUGCCCUGACAAACCUCAAGAUACAGCAUUCUGUACAGAACUUUCAACUCAGCCUUUAAUAUUGUACUCUUCCCUAUUUGUUGCAUUUUUUUUUCAGGUUUAGUUCAGCAUUGGUGAGGGUUGCCCUCUACUAGUUUUAAAUUCUAAAAAGGAAUCAGGAUUACCAUCUAACAGCACCUGAACAGAAAGUAGGGAUGAGGAACAUCAACGAAUGGCAUACCAUAGGGUUUCUCAAACGAAAAGUAUUGCUAUCCCACAUCAACCUGUUCUGUUUAGCAGAUGUCUUUUUCUCUUUUUCUUUCUUAAAAAUGUUUUCCAAAGCAAUAACUUAUUAUACCAUAGUAAAACAAGGUGUUGCUGCUGAAGCAAAUGACAAAUGACUUACUCAAAAAGAUAGCUGUAGCUGCUAAGCUUAAGUUGAUACAGGCUAGCAGCAGCUCCUUUUCUUUCUGAGAGAACAUAUGAUGGUUAUCUAGUAUUUGAAAUCUCUUCUGCUAUGCCUGAUGUUCAGAAAGCAGGUGAAUGGUAAUGUAGUCCCAUUCUACUGAAGUAGAUGACAUACUGGAGAGGGUAUAAACUGAGCUGAGAGUGAAUAGACUUCCAACGUUCUACUAUAUGUUGUUUUUGUAGCUAGAUGUUUCCAAUGCUCAACCUAAGUGGAUGGCUGAGAAGGAUGCAUUGUACCAGGACCCAGAGAUGGGGCAGAUACCAUGCUUGAGCUCUGAUGACAGAAAAGUCCCGCGUAAUUUUAAAAAUGUAGAAAAAGUAAAUUUAGAAUGAAAUUAGACCAUUUUCUUUCAUGACACAUGCAUUGCUAUGUGUGGGGAAUGGGGACUGUGCUUCAAGCUUGUACUGAGUCUUAAAAAAAUGCUUAGGACCUGGAUGUAUGAGUGGUUUCUUCUGUUUUGAUCUAUUUUGCUCAGAAAUGGCACAUCAUGUUUUUAUUAGAAUCUGCUCAGAUUAUACACACACACACGCACACACACACACCACAAUGCCAGUAUUAGUAUGUGCCUCCUCAAAUCUGAGUUUUCAGGAGCUGCCACUCUCAUGUCAAAACCUUGAAAUUAUCCUUGCACAGCAAGGCUGUCUUGGAAAUAUGGUCUACAUACAGUAAUAUGCUGGAUCAGCUCCAAUUAAAUUACAUGUUUACCAAACAGUAUUGCAGAAUGAGCAUAUUAAUGUUUCAGAGGGCAAUUCAUAAAAGAUGUAACAUGUUCUGAGAUUAUUUUCAAGUUCUAUUCACUUGCUUUUUGUAAAAUGAAAGAUACACGUAGAACAAAAUCUAUACCCCCAUGACUUCCCUAACGUACCUAUUCCAGAAAAAGAUUAAUAAGUUUAACAUAUGAAAGCUCUUUUUCUGUUUCUCAGCAGAAUGACAUAUUAAAAGUCCCACAAGUCAAGGCAACUCUUGCCUAUGACCCUUUUAAACUCUUCCACUGUAAACAACAUGGUUCAUUGCACCUCCUCCUUCCCUCUCAGAACAGCUGAACAUGCAGCAGCUGGCAGUUCCUGGCAUAGAAAAUCAUGAGAGUUAUAUAAGUACCUUAAUCCUUCCAUGUUGCUUCCUGAUUGGCACUUAAAAUGUAGUGACUCAGCCACUGAUGUAUGAUCCCACAACAGUAAUAUGCAAUUUAUGAAGAGCCCCUUUAAGUUCCUCCCUUUUCAUCAGCGAAAAGCUUUUCUUACGCUUCAUCUCAAGAAAUCUCAACACUGUAAUGACUGGCAAAACCUCUGAUGUCAAAUAGGCUUAAAUGUAUUUGAAAACUAGAAGAAGAAUUGAAGCAGCUCUCUUCAUUCUAUAGGUUACCGCUACUUUUAGAGUUUUCAGUGAAAAGUAUUUCAACUUAGUAUUCUAUAUUUGCAGUGAUAAACUUAUCAGACAUUACUGAUAAGGGUUCAGCAGAAUUUUGAUUUAACUUUAGAUUGAAUAGAAAACUAUCAGUCUUAAUAUAGUGCCUUGAACAAUUUCUGUACAGUUGGGUAUAAACCAGUAGAUUUUUCUGUAAAGAUUUUGUGUAAAAGCUUUACAACUCACUGGGGAAACUUUGAAUGACUUCUGUGUAUUCUACCAUUAGACCUCUAACUUUAAAUCCCUGACCCCCAGUGAGGGUAUGCUAAAAAUGGGUUACAUGCAGUUUCUGACUAAGAAAGUUUUUUCAAAUAGCAAGGUUUCAGAACCUGCUUGAGGAUGUGCGUUUUCCUCUGUCCAUAGCCCCUCUUAGGUAGAAUCUCAACACAUAUAAAAAACGCUGUGAAAAUGCUUUUUAAACAAACAUUUUGAAAAAUACAUUGAAUUUGACAUAAGUGUACUAUCAACAUCCAGUCUAGUGUCUAUAAUGCACUUAAAACAUGCUUAAAACCUUAUAUUUGCAGCUGUAUAGCUGUCUUUAGACUAUUAGGGAACAGUUUCCUAGAUGACUGUAAGAUUGAUCUCCUUCAACCAAAGGUUAAGCAGAAUACAACUUGUACAUAAUUUGGGCAACAGGUUUACAAUUUCUGUCAAUCAGUUGGAAUCAGGAAUUCCUUGGGGUCAUUCCAAAUACACUCUUUGGUUUCCAAGUUCACAGAAGAACAGCAGUGGCACCUUGUAUUAAAUCUGUCACUGACUUUGCUAUUAACUCUUCUUAGGUAAGGUUUUGUUUCUAUUUUAUCUCCAAGGUUUUUCCAUCCAGGAGAAGCAGUGAGUGAACAAGCUGAAAAGACAAGUGUGACUUAAGUGCUUAAGUGACAUUAUGAACACUACUUCAUGUGUCAUGUUUGUUUCUUUAAAAUGCAAAGUGUGUCAUCUGCUAUCCUGGAGCUGUCCAUGGUCUAGCAGAGCAUGCUUUGGACCUUGCUAUCUAUUCUUCCCUUGCAGCCUGCUUUCUGCCUAUUACCGUACUCUUGAUGCUCAAUCUAUUAUUAGUUCCUACCAAUGCUCUGACUCUUCCUCUGCUUUUAGCUUCUUGUUGUACACCUGUAGGGCUUGUCUGUCCACAAAGAUAGCAACAUUUUUCUGUUUGCUUGUUUUGUGUUUCCAACGAGGUGGCUCAGAUAAAAUCAGUUGGGGUUUUUUGCAGGUACUGUAAUGGGUACUUUAUAUGACCAUAACCUUUCCAACAUUCUAUGAGAGAUUAAGACUAUUGCAAAAUACUAGGCACAAAGGUUAAGCUGCCAGUGAACCAGGCUGGGCUGUGAUAUGACCUUUGGGAGUUCUGUUUUCAUGGGUUACUGCUAUUGCUGAAACGAGGGGGCAGGGCUGAAAUCUGAUUUUUGUCCUGGCUGCAAUGCUGCUGUUCCUUCUGUCAUGCCUGGUAAGUUGAUUUAGAAGGAAGGGGGAAGGUGUUUUGAGGAUUGGGUUGGCUAAAUAGGAGGAUCUGGUUUUCAAAAAGUGUUACUAUGUUUAGAUUUGGAGUUUUCGCCAAAGGUGCCUCUCUUCCCAUCUUUGACAUGUGUAUUUAACAAAGACAAUACAUGCAUGCCAUUUUCCAAAUGAUAUUGAAAUCAGUUUUUACAUUUCAAUGAAAGACUAGUGGCUGUAUUCUAACAACAGAUAUAUUCUGGAAUAAAAGCAUUAACAGUUGCUUGCGAAAAUGGCUCUGCUGAUCUCACAUUUCAUUUGGGUUGAGGGGAGAAGCAGAAUGGUUUUUGCAUAGGUCAAAAGCCAAGGACUGUUUCUAUAUGUGGGAUUUAAAUUGCAUUUGAGCCUCCUGUGCUAUUUAUGCUAAUAUCAGAUCACUUAUUCACAUAAAAAAGAAUUUGUAAUAAGGCUGACAUUCUGGUCAAUGUUAGUCUUUAUGAGGGUUUUAAGAAUGUAAAACCUAACUAUAACAGUUUAUCCUUGAAACUAAACUAAAAAUGUAUUUCCAAAUUCCAAACCCAAGAGGAAGGUUCACAGAGUUCUCACUAGAUGGAGCUGGUGCUCCCUUGAAGUCCUUCAGCUUGCUGUAAUUGAAGCAACAAUGAAUGUUCGUUGGGAAUCUUUUUUAUAAAAAAAUGUUUAGUAAAGCAUGUGGCUAAAACCUAAUUCGAAGGGCAUCAAAGUAUUUUCGGAAAGCAAGGCUUCAUAUUUAGGAGGGAGUGAAACUCCUCAACUAAAUCAAUUUGUUUAACUGGAACUUAGAUAAUGCACUGAUGAUGUCAAUAUAAAAAUAUUUUUUGUACAAAUUAAAUACUGAAAGAUAACAUGGAUGGACCAAAUGAUCUCACUGUCUGGAGUUACAGGAACUGGAUGAAAUGUAAUAAUACAAACUGUAAGAUCAUCUGUUUAAAGACUUUUGCUACUUAAUGCAGAAUCAUCUACUGGGAAUGACACAAGAAGAGAGCUGGGGUUCUUCAAAAUUGACCAGACGACUGAAAUGAUGUGGUGCAAUCCCAGAGUAUACUACAUAUGACACUUCAAGUUAGAGAUAAGAAAUUAUUAAAAAUUACAAGAUCUUUUUUGGAAAAGUGUUCUCUCAUUUCAACCACAAUAUAAUCACUGCAGCUGACCUUAUGAGAGGAAGCUGGAAGCUGGACCAGCAAAAUGGAAAGUAUAUAUACACUCUCCCAUUUUUGCUGUCAGGAGAAACAAUUAAUUAAAGACACUUCCACCCAAGCCAAUUCUUCACUUUCCCACACACUUAAAACUCCAACCACAGAACUGUAGAUAUUAGGACUCUGGUUUGCACUUUAAAAAACAAGGUAUUUCCCAAUUCCGUAAAACAUUGUAUAAUUCAGACGAAACAAAUACCAGACAAUGUUUUUAACAAAAUGAUUCAGAAAGAUCUAUCCAAAGUGAAUUUUCCUAUUGGGCGUAGUCUUCAUUAUUUUAAAAACUUAGAACCUCCUGCACAAGUCUGUGCUUUUUAUUUAUAUAUUUGCAGCAGUUUUCAGCUGAAAACUAGAAUUUAAAUUUUUACAAGUAGCCCAUAGUUUAUAAUGCAGUUUUACAUUUUUAAUGGAAUUUCACAAGUCCAAGAGGGCAGUUAUUUGAUUUUCCCCCUCCCAAGUGCAUUAAUAUACAGUUAGAUUACAUUUUUACAAAAAAAAAAAAAA
Molecule: non-coding RNA, 6045 nt
Organism: Podarcis muralis (Common wall lizard)
Lineage: Eukaryota; Metazoa; Chordata; Lepidosauria; Squamata; Lacertidae
Source: RefSeq, a predicted model, not a curated record